AGCGUCUGGAAAGGCGCGCGAUACAGGGUGACAGCCCCGUACACAAAAGCGCAUGUGCUGUGAGCUCGAUGAGUAGGGCGGGACACGUGGUAUCCUGUCUGAAUAUGGGGGGACCAUCCUCCAAGGCUAAAUACUCCUGACUGACCGAUAGUGAACCAGUACCGUGAGGGAAAGGCGAAAAGAACCCCGGCGAGGGGAGUGAAAAAGAACCUGAAACCGUGUACGUACAAGCAGUGGGAGCCCCACCACCAAAGCAUUCUCUGGUGUUGAAGGCCCUGCAAAGCAGCAUCGCGGUGGCGGAGCGUCGUUUGCGACGCCCAACACACAAAACAAGCGGUGAGUGCUUUGGGGUGGGGUGACUGCGUACCUUUUGUAUAAUGGGUCAGCGACUUAUAUUCUGUAGCAAGGUUAACCGUAUAGGGGAGCCGUAGGGAAACCGAGUCUUAACCGGGCGUUAAGUUGCAGGGUAUAGACCCGAAACCCGGUGAUCUAGCCAUGGGCAGGUUGAAGGUUGGGUAACACUAACUGGAGGACCGAACCGACUAAUGUUGAAAAAUUAGCGGAUGACCUGUGGCUGGGGGUGAAAGGCCAAUCAAACCGGGAGAUAGCUGGUUCUCCCCGAAAGCUAUUUAGGUAGCGCCUCGUGAAUUCAUCUCCGGGGGUAGAGCACUGUUUCGG
Molecule: ribosomal RNA, 678 nt
Filed under: Salmonella enterica
Lineage: Bacteria; Pseudomonadati; Pseudomonadota; Gammaproteobacteria; Enterobacterales; Enterobacteriaceae
Description: partial 23S ribosomal RNA
Rfam family: Bacterial large subunit ribosomal RNA
Source: RNAcentral